Molecule: ribosomal RNA, 688 nt
Filed under: uncultured bacterium
Lineage: Bacteria
Description: bacterial SSU rRNA
Rfam family: Bacterial small subunit ribosomal RNA
Source: RNAcentral
GUCGAGGGGCAGCGGGUAGAUGAGCUUGCUCAUUUAUGCCGGCGACCGGCGCACGGGUGAGUAACGCGUAUGCGACCUGCCCGUCACAGGGGGAUAAUCCGGAGAAAUCCGGUCUAAUACCGCAUAAUAUCGUGAAGCUGCAUGGUUUUGCGAUUAAAGGAGCGAUCCGGUGACGGAUGGGCAUGCGUGACAUUAGCUAGUCGGCGGGGUAACGGCCCACCGAGGCGACGAUGUCUAGGGGUUCUGAGAGGAAGGUCCCCCACACUGGUACUGAGACACGGACCAGACUCCUACGGGAGGCAGCAGUGAGGAAUAUUGGUCAAUGGGCUUACGCCUGAGCCAGCCAAGUCGCGUGAGGGAAGACUGCCCUAUGGGUUGUAAACCUCUUUUGUCAGGGAGCAACGCCGGCUACGUGUAGCCGGACUGAGAGUACCUGAAGAAAAAGCAUCGGCUAACUCCGUGCCAGCAGCCGCGGUAAUACGGAGGAUGCGAGCGUUAUUCGGAUUUAUUGGGUUUAAAGGGUGCGUAGGCGGAAUGCCAAGUCAGCGGUAAAAUCGCGGGGCUCAACCUCGCUCCGCCGUUGAAACUGGCGUUCUUGAGUGGGCGAGAAGUAUGCGGAAUGCGUGGUGUAGCGGUGAAAUGCAUAGAUAUCACGCAGAACUCCGAUUGCGAAGGCAGCAUACCGGCG